This is a long non-coding RNA of Haemorhous mexicanus (house finch), 3317 nucleotides long. RefSeq lists it as uncharacterized. NCBI's taxonomy places the organism in Eukaryota, Metazoa, Chordata, Aves, Passeriformes, Fringillidae. The record is from RefSeq and is a predicted model, not a curated record. The transcript is spliced from 5 exons.
UCUGAACCCCUGGUGGCAUCCUGCAUGUGACCAGCGCCUGAAGCACGUCUGCUCCGUGGGCUGACUGCGGUGGGCGAUUGUGGCCGUUCCAUCAGCCCCUGGUGGGAUGCAGCUGAGAGGGCCCAGCCCUCAGGCUGGGAUUCCUGGGUGGCUGCUGGAGCACAGCCAUGGAGAGCAGCACUCACAGAGCUCCCCUGCUGUGUGGUAGGCAAGGAGGUUAUAACCACAUCUCCUGCGCCACAGAAUCCGUGCCAUGAGCUGUCAUCUUCCAACUCUGUCUUCCCCACCCCCAUCUGAUUUAACAUACAGUGCAAAAAGAGGCUGGACUGGUCCCACAUUAGGGGACCAUGUUGCAACCUCCUCUCCGAGCAUGAAACAGGAUCCCUUAGGAAUAAUGGGAUUAACUGAGGAGAAGAAGGGCCACUUAGCUUCUGGCAUUAUUAAAUCUUGCAAUUCUUUUUUGAAAUUUUGCACCACACAUCUCAAGCUACUUUUUGCAGAGACAGACAAUAACUGUCAUCUGUCUGGGAUUUGUGCAGAACAAUAAUACUUGGUUUUUAACAGCGGAUUAUGGAUAUUCUAUCCAGCUCAUGCCUGCUGUAACUCUACUAACAUCAAAGGGUUUGCACUAGGGAUAAAGUUUGCACAUUCAACUUUGUUGGCCAAAUUCAAGUUAGGAAAUUCAAUGUUGUUGAACAAGAUCAGUCAUUAAAACACAUAAUAACUUAUUGUCCUUUUGCUAAUCAUCAUUAAAUGAGCUAAAUGUCCUAAACUAGCCCUUGCUUUCUUGCAGGAUGGAUUCAAUUUGGCUUAAGAUGAGGCUCCAGAUCUGUCACCCAUAGUCAAUGUUCCCGCUGCCCUCAUUCCAUUGGAUCCAGCUGAAGUAUUCUGCUCAGCAGGAGAGCUCAGCUGGGCUAAUGGGCCCUAGGGGCUUGUUCUACUAUUUUCUCAUCUCCUGUUAGGUUUUAGCCAGGUGCAGAAUCCACUGCCUAUUUCCUGAUUAUCCCAGUAUCUGUUUUGUCACAGCUGAAAAUAGCAAGAAGCCUACAGAGAGCUUUAAAUAGUGGCAAGUCAGAGCAGGUAAGAGCUGUCAUCUGCUGCAGAGUGGGAGGAGGUCAGACUGAUGUAUGUAAUGCACCUACAGUGAAGUCAAGCAAGAAGACCCUUUUCUCCAAAGUUAAGCAGCUUUCAUAACUCCCACCAACAAGAAGGUGGCUAGGAGAGCCUAGCUUUUCAUUUGCUCUAUUGAAGUGGAGGAAGGUAAAUUACUUUGAGAGAUUCUGCCAUUUCAAGAUUUUAAUGGGUGGUUUUAACCUGCCUGUUUUAAACAUGUUCAGAGGUCAAUAAAAGGCAAAGCUCUCUACUUUGAAUCUUUCUCUAAGUACAGCCUUAGUUUAAUAGUUUUCAUGACAUGCUUUCAUCAAGUUCUCUUUCCCUUCUCCUUCUGUUAGACUUCACAAAACCCUGAUGAUUUACUUUAGGUUUAGCUGCACUCCAGAGAAAUGCAAAUUUGCCAUUCAAAGGGUCAAGAUUGAUAUUCAAGGUGUUGUCCUUUGAGCUUGAGCAUGAGGGAGGCUAGUACUUUCCCAACUCCAUGUUUUUCCUUGUAAGAAAGGGGACAGAUUGUGCAUCUGUUCCCUCUUGUCUGAACCUUCACAAACAGCUCUGUUACAAGGGCAAAGAAACUGCUGGGCUGUUCUGAAGGAAAGGCAGUCAAGGAAGUAGGGAUCAUAAAACAAUUCUAAUGUGGCAUGGCUGCAAUAGUAGUGCACACAUUGUCUAAUUCCUGCAACAAACACUAUGAAGGAAGUCAGAGUGCAAUGCAGCCACUGACCACUGAGACAGGAACAGCUUCCACGUAGGAGGAAGUCUCUGCUUCCUUUUGCUAACACUCUGGCACCUGAGUUUUAAGAAACUGCCUUAAAAGCAAACUCCUUACAUCAUCAAAGAUAAUAUUCUGUUCAGCUAAGGUCUCCCACAUAAAGGUUUGGCCAGACUUCAUCCACGUGCCCUGUGGGCUGUGUGCAUGUGCAGAGCAGGCGCCGCAGCUCCUCCAGGGAUGGUGUCCCGGUGCUGCUCCCACUGUCGGGCAUCCAGCUUGAGGCACUUCUUAUCCUAGGCCAUAAGUCCUGGCUGCACAAGGUGUCCCAGGCCAUCCUGAAAGGGGAGAGAAGAUACUCACCACCAGCCAGAGAUAUUUCUGACAGGUUCCUUUCUUCCUCUUACCUUGUCAAAAAGUUGAUUAAAACGUCAUUAUAUUUUUAAAGAUUAUUUUCUUCAUAGGAAAUGGGGAAGUUCCUAAUAUUGUCUGGAAUUCUAAAUGCUAUUAUUAGCACAGAGAAAAAGCCCAGCCCUUGAUAUGCCAGCACAAGGCUUCUGCUUUCACAUGGAAAGAGGAUGUUACUCCUAAGAAUUUUCUUGCAGUUCUCAGAGGAGAUGGGGAAGCAGUGAAGGGGGUGGGAUCAGGAAAAGUAUUGAAAAGUAUGAGUAUGCACUGAGACAGCUGUAUGCCUUGGUCAACCUUUGUGAAGGAGGAUACCCCACUGACAGAAUAUGCCUGGCCAUGAAUUGGGUGUGCCUUGGGUAUUGAUGGAAACAACAGUCCUGAAUGUAACCCUUACUACAAGUGAUAACUUCUCAUAGCUGUCAUAAUCCAGACUUUAUGUGCAUGCAACCUGGAGAGAGUCAGACACUGUACUGGAACUGUGCUGGGAGCUGAGGCACCAGACCAUGAGCAGUGCAGCACUUGCCAGUGCUCUCCUCUGCAGCCCCAGCUGAUGACAGCCUGCUGCUUUGAGAGAGGCAUUUUGGCAAACCACCUGGAGCUUUUAAGAUGGAUAAUUUUUUCACAGCACAAUGCUCUUAGGAAUCUCUGGAUGAACACUACAAGCCACCUAUGUGAUUGCUAAAUCCAUCCUAAAUCUAAACAUUGAGUCAUUAAUUCUGGAGGGUGUUUUUUAAACUCUUGCUAACUCUUUAAAAAAAAAGUUAAUGAAUGCCAUUACAGUGACUAAUUUGCAGACUGGUUGAAGAGUAAAGAAACCAAAGCUUGUUCUUUAAGUUUUAACUCCUUAACAGUUUUAAGAAAUUAGUUGCAUAUGGGAGCUAUUUGAUGUGGACAGCACAGUUAAAUGUUAACAGUAAAAAUCUUUGUGAGUAGAAAGCACUGUUUCCCAAAGAAAAACAGAAAUAUCUAAUGCUGUAAAUUUAGCACCAAUAUGCUGUAAUUAAUUGUGUAUACUCACAAACCUGUGGGAAGUCAUGGAAUACAGGAAUUGCCUAUGAAUAAAAAUGAAGUUGACAGUUUCAUCCACCCA